ACUAUUUUGGCGGAUAAACGCAUUAAAGUUAGAUUUUGAAGAAGGGUUUACCAAAUAGUA
This 60-nucleotide transfer RNA is filed under the name Platorchestia sp. AKP-2018. Its description in RNAcentral is "tRNA-Leu". The record is from RNAcentral. Lineage: Eukaryota; Metazoa; Arthropoda; Malacostraca; Amphipoda; Talitridae.